UUGAAAAUAUAGGUUGUGCAAGAUGAAGUGAUGAAUAAAAACAAUACAACUGAAAAUGUUUUUGGUGAUAUUCAAGACGACAAGGUGUUGGAGGAGAGGAAUGACUAUGUGGGGAACAAAUUUGAUGAUGAUGUGUUUGAUGUAAAUGAUUAUAGUGAAGUUAAAGAGGAGUCGGAGGAGAGGAAUGACAAUGCGGGGAACAAAUUUGAUGAUGAUGUGUUUGACGUAAAUGAUUAUAGUGAAGCUAAAGAGGU
Lactuca sativa (garden lettuce) is the source of this 254-nucleotide non-coding RNA. Lineage: Eukaryota; Viridiplantae; Streptophyta; Magnoliopsida; Asterales; Asteraceae. The record is from RefSeq and is a predicted model, not a curated record.